RNAcentral lists this ribosomal RNA (301 nucleotides) under uncultured bacterium. RNAcentral's name for it is "partial 16S ribosomal RNA". It matches the Rfam family "Bacterial small subunit ribosomal RNA", at positions 509 to 807 of the family's 1533-position model. The record is from RNAcentral.
CAGUAGCCGCGGUAAUACGGAGGGUGCAAGCGUUAUCCGGAUUCACUGGGUUUAAAGGGUGCGUAGGCGGAUCUGUAAGUCAGUGGUGAAAUCUCCAGGCUUAACCUGGAAACUGCCGUUGAUACUAUAGGUCUUGAAUUUUGUGGAGGUUAGCGGAAUAUGUCAUGUAGCGGUGAAAUGCAUAGAUAUGUCUCAGAACACCAAUUGCGAAGGCAGCUUACUAAGGUAUGAUUGACGCUGAUGCACGAAAGCGUGGGGAUCAAACAGGAUUAGAUACCCCGGUAGUCCCUGUCUCUUAUAC